AGUAACACGUGAGCAACCUGCCCUGGACUCUGGGAUAAGCGCUGGAAACGGUGUCUAAUACUGGAUAUGAGCUCUCAUCGCAUGGUGGGGGUUGGAAAGAUUUUUCGGUCUGGGAUGGGCUCGCGGCCUAUCAGCUUGUUGGUGAGGUAAUGGCUCACCAAGGCGUCGACGGGUAGCCGGCCUGAGAGGGUGACCGGCCACACUGGGACUGAGACACGGCCCAGACUCCUACGGGAGGCAGCAGUGGGGAAUAUUGCACAAUGGGCGGAAGCCUGAUGCAGCAACGCCGCGUGAGGGAUGACGGCCUUCGGGUUGUAAACCUCUUUUAGCAGGGAAGAAGCGAGAGUGACGGUACCUGCAGAAAAAGCGCCGGCUAACUACGUGCCAGCAGCCGCGGUAAUACGUAGGGCGCAAGCGUUAUCCGGAAUUAUUGGGCGUAAAGAGCUCGUAGGCGGUUUGUCGCGUCUGCUGUGAAAUCCCGAGGCUCAACCUCGGGCCUGCAGUGGGUACGGGCAGACUAGAGUGCGGUAGGGGAGAUUGGAAUUCCUGGUGUAGCGGUGGAAUGCGCAGAUAUCAGGAGGAACACCGAUGGCGAAGGCAGAUCUCUGGGCCGUAACUGACGCUGAGGAGCGAAAGGGUGGGGAGCAAACAGGCUUAGAUACCCUGGUAGUCCACCCCGUAAACGUUGGGAACUAGUUGUGGGGACCAUUCCACGGUUUCCGUGACGCAGCUAACGCAUUAAGUUCCCCGCCUGGGGAGUACGGCCGCAAGGCUAAAACUCAAAGGAAUUGACGGGGACCCGCACAAGCGGCGGAGCAUGCGGAUUAAUUCGAUGCAACGCGAAGAACCUUACCAAGGCUUGACAUACACCAGAACACCGUAAAAAUACGGGACUCUUUGGACACUGGUGAACAGGUGGUGCAUGGUUGU
Molecule: ribosomal RNA, 930 nt
Filed under: Microbacterium sp. R2B2
Lineage: Bacteria; Bacillati; Actinomycetota; Actinomycetes; Micrococcales; Microbacteriaceae
Description: bacterial SSU rRNA
Rfam family: Bacterial small subunit ribosomal RNA
Source: RNAcentral